RNAcentral lists this long non-coding RNA (447 nucleotides) under Rattus norvegicus (Norway rat). Its description in RNAcentral is "long non-coding RNA NONRATT018801". Lineage: Eukaryota; Metazoa; Chordata; Mammalia; Rodentia; Muridae. The record is from RNAcentral.
UGAUAGCUAAAAGCAGAUUUAUUAUUAUAGCUCAGUCUCAAAAAAAUAAAAAUUAAAAAAAUUAUCCAGUGGUUAUGAGGAGUCUAGGAAAACCUGGCCUAGCAGGGCCAGUUUAGAAGUGAAGGGCUGGCUGGGGCAGCUGAGGAGCGGGGCUCUCUGCCUGGCAGGCUGCUUCUCCCUGGGCUGGUUUUCAGCUCAUCGUAGGGAAAGGCAUUUUCCAGGUAACUGUCGUAGGCGUGGUAGAACAUGGCCUUGACUCGCUCCCUGUAGUGGGCGGGGUCGGGCGCGGUGCCUUCGGGGCCUGGCGCACCAUGGUGCAGGGGCAGCAGCACGCACACGAGGCCGAGCGGGAUAAGCAGCCGGAAAGGCAUAGAGCUCGUGUCCUGUCAGUGCCGCCGCAGCAGCUGCAGCCACGGCCACCCGCUCAUUCUCCGAGCCGCGGCUGGU